This 500-nucleotide ribosomal RNA is filed under the name uncultured bacterium. RNAcentral describes it as "partial 16S ribosomal RNA". It matches the Rfam family "Bacterial small subunit ribosomal RNA", at positions 30 to 523 of the family's 1533-position model. The record is from RNAcentral.
AUUGAACGCUGGCGGCAGGCUUAACACAUGCAAGUCGAGCGGGGGAAGGUAGCUUGCUACCGGACCUAGCGGCGGACGGGUGAGUAAUGCUUAGGAAUCUGCCUAUUAGUGGGGACAACAUCUCGAAAGGGAUGCUAAUACCGCAUACGUCCUACGGGAGAAAGCAGGGGAUCUUCGGACCUUGCGCUAAUAGAUGAGCCUAAGUCGGAUUAGCUAGUUGGUGGGGUAAAGGCCUACCAAGGCGACGAUCUGUAGCGGGUCUGAGAGGAUGAUCCGCCACACUGGGACUGAGAAACGGCCCAGACUCCUACGGGAGGCAGCAGUGGGGAAUAUUGGACAAUGGGGGGAACCCUGAUCCAGCCAUGCCGCGUGUGUGAAGAAGGCCUUAUGGUUGUAAAGCACUUUAAGCGAGGAGGAGGCUACUUUAGUUAAUACCUAGAGAUAGUGGACGUUACUCGCAGAAUAAGCACCGGCUAACUCUGUGCCAGCAGCCGCAGUAA